AGCCCGUCACAUCUUCUGUGCGCAUUUUCGUGCUAAUUUCAGCUCGUUUGCAGCUCAAGGAGCUUCAGAGCUUCUUCUCAGAAAAAGAUGUCUGAACCAGCAAAGCUGCAUGUAAUUCUGGGGGACCAUGAUAUACGAAAGCUAGUCUUGUCUUCUGGGAUACCUGAUUCAUGUCAAGACCUGGAAAUGAUCAUCAGAGAGACAUUUCAGCUUCAGGGAAACUUCAGUUUACACUACAAGGAUGCUGAUUUUGUUUAGUUUUUUUCCUUGACCACAGCAGCAGACCUUAAAGACAAGGACACUGUCGUAGUCCUUGUUGAGCCUUUAUAUAUAACUUUAACCAAAAGUGUCCCAUCAGAAAGUGUCUCCAGAAAAUCAGAUGCCUCUUCAUGUUCAUGUUUUUCUUCAUCUGCUGACACAGUACUUCUGUCUUCUCCAGAGUCCCAUAGGCGUUCACAACAGUGGCCAUCACAUUUUGAAAUUCCAGAGUUUGCUUAUGAUACAGAGCUGAUUCUUGAGUCUGCCAAUGCUGCAUUCAAAAAGGAUGGCACAUUUUUUAAUCAAUCCGAGCAUCAAGUCUGAUAUUCUUGAAAAACUGUCUCAAAAGAUCUGCCAGUAUUGUGCAGAUCCAACCAGUCAGCAGAUAUGCAGUGUUGCUGAGGUAUUGGUCCAAAAGCAUCUGUGCUUGAAGGAACCAGGUUCAUUCUCUUGGUUAAAUACAAGAUGGGAAAUUACAGGUCAAAGUUGAGAAGUCUAGGAUGCCCAAAGCAUGUUGUGAACUAAGAUGACCGCACCAAAAACUCAAAAAGCCAUGUAAAGCAGAGGUUAAUUACCUUCCCCCACACCCCACUAGAGAAUCUAGAGAAAGUCUCAAAAGGAGAGGGAAGAUCUUCUGACUGAGGUCAAGAAAAAAGACAGUUGGAAGAUCAUUAAUGAGAAGAUGUCAAGAACAUUUUCCAAUCAAAGACAGGAGAUUGUGAAAGAAAGCCCAGCCAUAGAGGAUCUUCUUCAUAGAUGGCCUGCUUUAUUUGAAGCUACUCAGAUAAAGGAAGAAUUCAAGCAAAAAAACACCAGUUCAGCUGGAAACAACGUUCAUGGCAAAUUUUGGCAAGUACACGGGCAGACUCUUGUCUUCCGUGCACCUUCCUUGUCUUUCGUUCCGUACCAAAGGAGGUGCUGCUGGUCGGAAGAUGGGUAACCUUCUAGAUGUUUUGAAACAGGAUGAGACUGCUGAAAAGUGCAGAGAGGUAGUGAUGUAGUCCUGUACUUUUCUGAAAACGGAGAAGAUCUCAUUAAAGAUUACCGUGGCGCUCCGAUUGAUGAAAUGAAAGCUGAACUUGCACAGAAGACAAUGAAGAUUUUCACCAAAGGUGGUUCUACGGAGGAUGAUUCCUAUAACACGCUGGGAUUGUGCUGGAAGGCAGAGAAGAUCUGGUUGGUCUGUCAAGCAUAGCAAUGGCAUGUGCCUUGCUGCUUGGACUAAUCUAUGCUGUGAACAUUAGCUACCCCAAACAACUCGGAUACACAUUUGAAUUUUUUCAGAAGAUGCUGUUAGAACUUGACAGUGGGAGGCUUUCACCAAAGGUGCACUCACUGAAAUCAAAGUUACUGAGUGAAACAAAGUUGUAGAUCUCAAAAUCUCCAAAGGUGUGCAGGUUGCCAAGUUAAAACUAAGCAGCAGCUUCCCAGGAACUCGUUAUGUGUUACGUUUUUGUGCAAUUUGCUGCUGUUUUUGGUUAAUGGUGUGUUGUUGGCUGUGUUUUAAUAUCAGUGAAAUGUUGCUCCUAUCAUUGCCACUAGUUUGUCUAGUUUCUGUUUCUAUGCACUUCAGAGUUCAUCACAAAUGAUUGAAGACUGUGUUCAUUGUUUUGUCUUUUUCCCUCCCCGACUUGAACACACAUUCUUGGACUGAGAUUCUACACCUAUCAGUCACUUCAUUAAACCACCUCCUUGUUA
Molecule: long non-coding RNA, 1956 nt
Organism: Pygocentrus nattereri (red-bellied piranha)
Lineage: Eukaryota; Metazoa; Chordata; Actinopteri; Characiformes; Serrasalmidae
Exons: 5
Source: RefSeq, a predicted model, not a curated record